GGAAUAUCCUUGUUUUUCGAAAGAAAAUAAAAAAGUUUUUCCAAUAAAAUAACAUCAAAUCUAUCAGAAAUACAGAGUAGACAUUGUUAAUGUUGUAAAUGACAAUUGUAGCAAAGCACAGCUCCAAACUAUGCAAGAACUACUUAGGGAAGCAGUGAGCUGAUAUGCUGUCUGUAUUGGAGUGGCCAGCACAGUCACUGGAUCUCACCCCUAUUGAGCUGUUGUGGGAGCAGCUUGACCGUACGCUACGUCAGAAGUGCCCAUCAAGCCAAUCCGACUUGUGGAAGGAGCUUCAGGAAGCUUGUAGUGAAAUCUCUUCAGAUUACCUCAACAAAUUGACAACUAGAAUACCAAAGGUCUGCAAGGCUGUAACUGCUACAAACGGAGGAUUCUUUGACGGAUGCAAAGUUUGAAGGACGCAAUUAUUAUUUAAAUCAAAAAAAGAUUAUUACUUACCUUGCAAAUUACUAUAUUUCCUAUUCAUGUUGCUAGACUUUUGUUCAUGAAUGUUUUCAUGGAACUCAAGGAAGUUUUUGAGUGACCCCAAACAUUUGAACGGUAGUGUACAUUUAGUAUAAUUUAUAUGCACUGCCAUUGCCUAUCAAAAGACGUCUACUGUUUGUUACAUGGUUGUGCAACGCUUACGUUUUCUUUACAGAUUUCCCUGACACCAUUGUUGAACCCUAACGUGCGAAGCUGACAAGGCUAUCAGUUUAAAACCUUUUGACAAAAAAAAUUGCCAAUUAAAUUUUUCAAUCAAUUGUUCCGGGUAAAAAUACAAUUAGCGUUGCAAAUUCAAAUGGUUGGUUGACGUCUCGAAAUGCCCCAGAAAUCCUGACGCGCGCUGCCGUGUAACGCCCUGGGUCUCUGGGGAAGAGCCUGGCAGAAGCGUAAUCCCUCGGUUGCCGGUGUUGUUGUUUUUUUUAAUGUUAUCUCGGGCUGUAAUGUUGGCACCAUUGUUCCCAUGUUAUGUGUGGUGACUGGUUAUUGCACACGUGUCCAUUGGAAUACUACAUUAAGAUGUGCUCAUGUUUCCCAUGUACUUUGCUGCAGUAUCAUGAUUUAUGGUGAGGUGUCGCGUGUUCUGUUCGACAGAUAUUUUUUACAAAAUUAUUAAAAUGAGC
Long non-coding RNA from Esox lucius (northern pike), 1124 nucleotides. NCBI's taxonomy places the organism in Eukaryota, Metazoa, Chordata, Actinopteri, Esociformes, Esocidae. The record is from Ensembl.